CGGAUAGAAAACAAAUUGGCCUGUUGCUUACUUUGGGAGUAAGAUCUUGUUCGUUCGAAUCGAACCUGUCCGA
RNAcentral lists this transfer RNA (73 nucleotides) under Rhizoctonia solani. Its description in RNAcentral is "tRNA-Pro". Lineage: Eukaryota; Fungi; Basidiomycota; Agaricomycetes; Cantharellales; Ceratobasidiaceae. RNAcentral also lists the same sequence under 3 other names. The record is from RNAcentral.